GGACGUCCCAAAAAAGAAACUGUAUAGAAUUUAUUGAGACGGAAGGAGUAGAUCAAAUCGGAUCCACGGCCCUCAAAUCCGUUAAUUUUAGUGCCAUAUCGAGAAAAGAUAGAUCAAAUCCGAUCUGGAAUAAAACCCAAUUUUUUUAACAAUAUCCCAAGAAUUCAAAUAAGGUUAGGGUUUCUAUUCCCUUUGCGGUUGAAGUGAGAAAUAUUCGAUAUUCAAAAAUCAAAGCCGGCGCAAAGAGCUUCAAAUAUGGAACUGUAGUCGGUUCCGGAUGAACAUUAACAAGGUGUUGAAAUCCCCCUGUCAGUAAAGUACUUCCGGCCUACUCUGAAACAAAUGCUAGCUCUGUCCGCUAGAAUUAGGAGUCUAUGGAAGCAAAUGUUCUCUUCCUUCUUCAUCUUAGUUGAAUGGACUGGUUGGUCAACAAUAUAAUUAGACAGAUAUUGACUCCUCUUUCUUGUCAUGUCCCCCGAUUUUUCUCUUUUAACCUGUGUUCUAAUCAGAUGGUAUAAGUAUUCUAUUUACAUCUUCUAUAUGUUUACACUUUACUGAAGUAUUCUACAGAUAGUAUGAGAGCAUACAAGUGGCUGAUUUAGCCCAAUACACUAUGUUCAUUCUCUUGUCUAUGUGCGCGUUUAGAUUAAAUGACUUUAGAAUAUCACUAUUGUCGGUCUUUUUCUUUAUUCUUUUCUGCACUGACUCGAAAUCACUAAUGUAUGACAUACUGAUGUAUUUGAUGCCACAGGGUAUGUGUUUAGUUGCUGAAUAUAUUUAAUCACUUGAUGCGAACUUGCACUCUUAAACAAUGCUCUUCUUUCCCCUUCUCUAGGUAGAAAUUUCAUAAAGCAGUUAGCUAACUCAGUUAUAUAUUAUUCAGCUAGUAUGAAACGUCUGGAUUCAUCAAACAUGAUGUUAAUCUUUCCACAUGCCGUUGCGGCAUAGUUUGGAACCAAAUUGUCGCAACUCGUGGUUGAGUGAAGGGAUCUAAUCUUAUCUUAUCUUGGGAACUUUUAAGUUCCUAGUUUGUUUAAUAUGACACUUCUCAUUAAUCUUUUUUUCAGUUUAAGAGGACCAUAUUUGCUAUGUUCACUGCAAACUUGAUUACUGUGUGUAAAGACAAGACCAAAUACUAAUUAUUUUAGGUGUUAGGUAAAGGCUUAACUUUAAAAUAUGUUUACUUGGCCACGGUGUGCAGGCUAUGCUAUUAUAAUCCAACUGAUCAACGUCUUUUAAAAUAUACCAAGUGGCAUCUAUGUUAUCUAUUUUAUGCUUGUAACAGGUUUCGAACCAAUUUCUCAUUACAUUUUCUGUUUCAGCUGAGUUGGUUUUGAAUAAGACUUGCAACUUGGUAUUUUAUCAGUAAUCAGUCCUUAAGCAUGACUGUUAUAUAUCACGAAGAAGCAUGCUAAGCUAAAGAUUAUAAUGUACAACCUACUUUUUACUUUUGGUUUUUAUAGCUUUGAUUCAACCAACUUUUGUAAAGGUUUUUUGAGAUGGAGGAACCAUAUCUUUUUCUCCGUAGAUGGUAGAUUGUACAUGACUAAACAUAUUGAAAUAACCCAUCAAAUAACUUUAAUAUGUACAUAUAUUUUUUUGUAAGUUAGCAAUACUGUGAUAUUGAUAUAUUAUAUAUACUGGUUAAAUGAUUAGAAAAGGGGUAGUGGAGAGAAGGUAAAAAGUGGGGCUGUCAAAAAUAUAUGUAUGGAAUUAAAUUUGUUUACCACCAGCCUCUUUGGAACCUGGAUAUCAUCAGCGUGUCUUAUCUGGUUUAAAGCCCUUGCAAAUCUCCUGCCACUUACCGGAUAUAUGUACCCUUCAUAUCGUUCAAUUCUAUCAUUAGAUAAUUUUUACUGGCCGGGAGUCGAGGGGGAAGUCGUUGGGAAUCUAGUAGGGAGGACACUGCCCUAAACAAGCGGAAUGUGUCAUGCACGGCCGAUUACUGAUUUUGAUUUAACAUUUGCACUAGAAUAGUAUCAGGCUUUGCACACUCCACAAAUAUGGUUGAAACAAAUUAAGGAAAGCGACACACACCCAAAGCGGCAAGCAUUACAUACUGUUCAUAGAGUAGGGUCAAGACUCAAGGCUGCAGUGGUGCCUCGUGCACCACCACAAUUUAGCCUACUGUGUUAGUCCCACCCAUCAGCUCAAGCAAAUGGCCCCCUACCCAACGCUCUCCACAGGAGUAAAGAGUAAAAGCCUUCUCUCAGGUGUUCUUUUUUAUAAAUGGGGCUCAUAUAUCUCUUAGUACUGUCCUACCAAUUUGUGAUCCAUUGAUGUACCCCACUGACGAGACCUAACAGUUGCUCUUCUGUGGUAAUGUGGCUAUAAUGUUUUCAUUCAUCAACAACCGUGUAUUCAAUCCAAUCUAGCUGUUUAUUUCUCUAAUUUUCUGGUCUUAGUUUAUACUUUUCCUUCACAUAAGCCUCCCUUUUGAAGUUGUUGAACAAUAUUUACCGUUCUGAAGUCGAACUUCAAGCUCAUGAGCGUUAAACAUAAAUUUAAAUAAGUUGCACUAUACAGAUUUGUUAAUAUUCGGAAUUGGAUCAUAUAUCUAUGCACGACAAACACAUCAUGAUUACGAUGAAAUCUGUACUUACAUAUCAAGUACAUACACAAAUGCAUAUAUAAACAUAAUGAUUUUGAUAAUUAUCAUCCAUUCCUUUGUCGUUUUGCUGGUAUGGCUUUUGGGCAGAGUAAUCCAGAGUCCGUGCAAACAUGAUAGAUUUUUAGAAGUUUUUGUUUUCUUUAACAAGAAGUCAAUAUUUGAUCUAUACACUUGUGGAACCACAGUCUUAUUACCGUGAUACCUAAUACAUUAGAAGUGGACAGUGAAAUUACCUUUGGUGUUUCUGGUCUUUUAUGAGGUCAUGAGAUGUUUUGUUAUUGGUUCAAUAAGGAUAAGCUCAUCAACACUACAUCUUUUCUCCUCUUACUUUUCGUCACACAGAUGCUUACACAUCCUGCUGCUAUAAUUCUUAGUUGUACUAUAUCAGUCCAAGUUGCUUAAUGUUAUUGCUAUGUUUUCGCAUCUGAGUAAUAGAUUAUUUAGCUCUGGGUGGUGCAUGCGGAAAGUAAAGUAAUGUUGAACGCAUUAGUGUUAAAUGGCUUGCGUACUUGUAGUAAGGUCUUGUUCCACUACAUUGUGGAUAAAAAAAGGUGUUAAAUUUUGUUAAUUAAAUCUGAAUCCUCUUUAUAUUGAUUUGUCGUUAACAGAACAUCGUCUUGAUCAUUCUAAUCAUGUUUUAGUUUUGGCAUGUCGUAAUCUUGAUCACGCGGGUAGUGCCCCAGGGAUACAGUUACUGUUCAGCUUCAUUUAACGCAGUGCCGUACAAUUGAAAGCGUCUCAAUUAUUGAGAACCAGCGAAUUAGAAGGUGGUUUCAUCACUACCAGAAGGGAAGACAAUUGCCACAAUAAUACUCUGGGGGUUUGAACUCUGAAAUAGUGGUAUGUCCUUUUCUUAGUAACAAAUAACGCUAUGUGUCUGGUGCAUAAGGUUCCCGUCGGUAUCACCAGGGAUCGAAAUUUGUAUAUACUAAUUUUUGCGGAUAUGUCAGAAACACGCAAACUAAUAUUGCGAGAAGACAUGGCCAAAGGCCGCGAAGUGCACAGAAAAUCAUGCAAACUGAAAACCCCACCGUGAUGAAUAAUGAGGCUAGAACACAAUGGAAGUACUUUCAAAGUAGAGAGGGGUGAUAUGCACCCUCUCCUGCAGACACUGUAAUCCUCUUGUGCCCAAAUGUUUAUUUGCAGCAUAUCUGGUUUUUUUAAUCUCAAACUCUAUGCACUUAUUGGGAGGGUCUUAUCCUUGUCUUAGCUAAUUAAGGACCAGAAUAUCAUCAAUGACGUUGGAAAUCUUGUGUCUGUAGCUGUCAUGAUUAGAAUAAAAUCAAUGCAGGAUCUUCAUCAGGAUUCAGGAGUGGAAUGUCUUGAUAUAAAGAGUGAAUGCUUGUUAUUAUAUUUUGUUUC
Long non-coding RNA from Daucus carota subsp. sativus, 3973 nucleotides. RefSeq lists it as uncharacterized. The transcript is spliced from 3 exons. The record is from RefSeq and is a predicted model, not a curated record. Lineage: Eukaryota; Viridiplantae; Streptophyta; Magnoliopsida; Apiales; Apiaceae.